This 1343-nucleotide ribosomal RNA is filed under the name uncultured bacterium. RNAcentral describes it as "16S ribosomal RNA". It matches the Rfam family "Bacterial small subunit ribosomal RNA", at positions 28 to 1378 of the family's 1533-position model. The record is from RNAcentral.
GACGAACGCUGGCGGCGUGCUUAACACAUGCAAGUCGAACGGAAAGGCCCUGCUUUUGUGGGGUGCUCGAGUGGCGAACGGGUGAGUAACACGUGAGUAACCUGCCCUUGACUUUGGGAUAACUUCAGGAAACUGGGGCUAAUACCGGAUAGGAGCUCCUGCUGCAUGGUGGGGGUUGGAAAGUUUCGGCGGUUGGGGAUGGACUCGCGGCUUAUCAGCUUGUUGGUGGGGUAGUGGCUUACCAAGGCUUUGACGGGUAGCCGGCCUGAGAGGGUGACCGGCCACAUUGGGACUGAGAUACGGCCCAGACUCCUACGGGAGGCAGCAGUGGGGAAUAUUGCACAAUGGGCGGAAGCCUGAUGCAGCAACGCCGCGUGCGGGAUGACGGCCUUCGGGUUGUAAACCGCUUUCGCCUGUGACGAAGCGUGAGUGACGGUAAUGGGUAAAGAAGCACCGGCUAACUACGUGCCAGCAGCCGCGGUGAUACGUAGGGUGCGAGCGUUGUCCGGAUUUAUUGGGCGUAAAGGGCUCGUGGGUGGUUGAUCGCGUCGGAAGUGUAAUCUUGGGGCUUAACCCUGAGCGUGCUUUCGAUACGGGUUGACUUGAGGAAGGUAGGGGAGAAUGGAAUUCCUGGUGGAGCGGUGGAAUGCGCAGAUAUCAGGAGGAACACCAGUGGCGAAGGCGGUUCUCUGGGCCUUUCCUGACGCUGAGGAGCGAAAGCGUGGGGAGCGAACAGGCUUAGAUACCCUGGUAGUCCACGCUGUAAACGGUGGGUACUAGGUGUGGGGUCCAUUCCACGGGUUCCGUGCCGUAGCUAACGCUUUAAGUACCCCGCCUGGGGAGUACGGCCGCAAGGCUAAAACUCAAAGGAAUUGACGGGGCCCCGCACAAGCGGCGGAGCAUGCGGAUUAAUUCGAUGCAACGCGUAGAACCUUACCUGGGUUUGACAUGGAUCGGGAGUGCUCAGAGAUGGGUGUGCCUCUUUUGGGGUCGGUUCACAGGUGGUGCAUGGCUGUCGUCAGCUCGUGUCGUGAGAUGUUGGGUUAAGUCCCGCAACGAGCGCAACCCUUGUUCACUGUUGCCAGCACGUUAUGGUGGGGACUCAGUGGAGACCGCCGGGGUCAACUCGGAGGAAGGUGGGGAUGACGUCAAGUCAUCAUGCCCCCUAUGUCCAGGGCUUCACGCAUGCUACAAUGGCUGGUACAGAGAGUGGCGAGCCUGUGAGGGUGAGCGAAUCUCGGAAAGCCGGUCUCAGUUCGGAUUGGGGUCUGCAACUCGACCUCAUGAAGUCGGAGUCGCUAGUAAUCGCAGAUCAGCAACGCUGCGGUGAAUACGUUCCCGGG